This 234-nucleotide ribosomal RNA is filed under the name uncultured bacterium. RNAcentral's name for it is "partial 16S ribosomal RNA". It matches the Rfam family "Bacterial small subunit ribosomal RNA", at positions 99 to 334 of the family's 1533-position model. The record is from RNAcentral.
CGGACGGGUGAGUAGGCGUGGGUAACCUGCCUUGGUACAGGGGAUAACAGUUGGAAACGGCUGCUAAUACCGCAUAAGCGCACGGCAUCGCAUGAUGCAGUGUGAAAAACUCCGGUGGUAUAAGAUGGACCCGCGUUGGAUUAGCUUGUUGGUGGGGUAACGGCCUACCAAGGCGACGAUCCAUAGCCGGCCUGAGAGGGUGAACGGCCACAUUGGGACUGAGACACGGCCCAG